AAAACCUAGACACAAAAUGGGGCAUCAGAUUUUUUUCAUACAAUUAGAGACCCCUAGACAAAAACGGCGCAUCAAAAAGCUCCUGCUCCAUUUUUCGUCCUCACACUAAAAAGCAGACGGUCUCCUUCAAAAACGGAGAAUAACGAAAUCAUACCCCCCCCCUCUAUUCGGUCAUUUGGAUUGAGAGCAGAGGAGAGCGAAAUUCUUCUCUAAAUCAAGCUUCCAUCCAUUCUUCUUCUCUCAUCUCCUCUCACAUUGAAAUCAAAAGUUUUCAAGAGAUUCAAAAACAAAAACAAAAAAGGUUUGAUUUCCGAAAAUCUGGGCUCCCAAGAAUUGAUUGUCGAACCUCUGAUGUUGAUUGCUGAAACUUCUGCUGAGUUUCAACUUUGAAAGAUUUCAUCAUUCAUUUGGUUAUUUGAAAUUUUGUUCUCUGUUUUGCUCCCAGGUAUGUCGAAAUUUUUGUUUGUAAUUCCCUUUAAUUGAAAGAUUGUUUGUAUGAGCUGAAGCGGCAUUUCUCUUCUGUUUACAUUUCUUGGUUCAUGGUUUGCUUGUGGAAAUUAUAAUUCUGGAGAAGUUGUUGCUCAUAGUACUAUUUUGUGCUUUAUUUACUUGCGAAUAUUAUUAUAAAUAACCAACUUUUUCAUUAUUGGUCGGGCUAAUAGUGUAGAUUUUAGACUUGAGUCAUUAGAGAAGAGUAGUUCAAUGGUGUUAGGAUGUAAUAAACAAAAUGCUUCAAUUGGAAAGUCAAGCAUCUCUUCAUGAAAUCGGAAUUCACUGGGAUCCUGAUGUCUUUUUAGCCAUUUUCGGAGAUUGAUUUUGUCGAUUUCUUUAACAGCCAGCUAUUAAUUUGACAUUCAUAUGCCAUGUUUGCUGCUCUUUGCUAGACAAACAGUUUGAAAAAAUGGGAUUAUUUUUGUUGUAAAUUUCAUUUUAGUAGUAGGAUGAAUGAUUCAUGUAUUGGUAAUGGAAAUUAUUCAAAGCUUUUGUAUGUAAUAUGGCUAAGCUUUUGAGUUUGCUAAGAUCUUUGAGCUUGUUGGAUUUAAUUCGGCCCAGCUCUGUGAGUAAGGCCUAAUAGAGCCUCACUUUAGAAUAUUGA
Molecule: non-coding RNA, 1096 nt
Organism: Nicotiana tabacum (common tobacco)
Lineage: Eukaryota; Viridiplantae; Streptophyta; Magnoliopsida; Solanales; Solanaceae
Source: RefSeq, a predicted model, not a curated record